Drosophila virilis is the source of this 479-nucleotide non-coding RNA. Lineage: Eukaryota; Metazoa; Arthropoda; Insecta; Diptera; Drosophilidae. The record is from RefSeq and is a predicted model, not a curated record.
UCGAAGGGGGAGGCUGUGGGGGGGCUUGUCAAUAACUUCAUUACAAAAAUUUCGCAUCAUAUAACAUAUCAAGUAGUUAGGCACCGACUCGUGAGGCCACUCGAAGGGCCACUUGUGCCCAUUUAGGCUAAGUAUUACUUCCGCUUCCUCGUCUGCUGCCAGACAAAGCGCACUGCUCUUAUGUUGGCCGAAAAUUGUUGCAUACUUUUAUGGGCGCCAGACAUGCAAAUCACAAGUCUCAAGACUCGCCAUUCGCUCUUGCACAUAAAUUAUAUAUAAUAUUAAGUUGUUUUUGGUUAUCUUUUGUAGCCCAAAAGUCAAAUUACUUUAUUUGGCUAAGAUGUCUGAACAUCCAGUAAAAUGCUAGACAGAGUUAUUCUGUAAAGUUUUGAGUUCUUUUGGUCAGAACUUUUAGUUUAUUUUUAAAUUUACAUUUUCGUAAAAGCAUUAGGCAAUAAACAUUCUGUAAUGUAAUUUAA